CGCGGGGUGGAGCAGCUCGGUAGCUCGCUGGGCUCAUAACCCAGAGGUCGCAGGUUCAAAUCCUGUCCCCGCAACGA
Molecule: transfer RNA, 77 nt
Filed under: Leifsonia xyli
Lineage: Bacteria; Bacillati; Actinomycetota; Actinomycetes; Micrococcales; Microbacteriaceae
Also listed under: 8 other names
Description: tRNA-Met
Rfam family: tRNA
About the family: Transfer RNA (tRNA) molecules are approximately 80 nucleotides in length. Their secondary structure includes four short double-helical elements and three loops (D, anti-codon, and T loops). Further hydrogen bonds mediate the characteristic L-shaped molecular structure. tRNAs have two regions of fundamental functional importance: the anti-codon, which is responsible for specific mRNA codon recognition, and the 3' end, to which the tRNAs corresponding amino acid is attached (by aminoacyl-tRNA synthetases). tRNAs cope with the degeneracy of the genetic code in two manners: having more than one tRNA (with a specific anti-codon) for a particular amino acid; and 'wobble' base-pairing, i.e. permitting non-standard base-pairing at the 3rd anti-codon position.
Source: RNAcentral